GAAGGAAUGGGAAAAUGUGGAAUAUUCAUUUGGCAGAUGGACAGGUCCAUGGAGUCCACAGCACCGGAGCUCCAGAGCAGGGGCUCACUUCCACCCGCCUGGCCUUAAUCACAGUCACGAGUCGAGUCGCCCAGUUUGGCAGAGACAAUCAUUUGUUAUUUGAUUUGCACAUCAGCCGGAUGUGGACGCGGAUACCCAAGCAGCCGGACAGCCAGGACGAAUGCAGGCAGUCCGGCAGUCAGUCAGCCAGCUAGUCAGCCAGGAUGUCAGGGCAUGGAGAAGCCAGGGGCCCGCAGCAGCGGAUGAGUUGGAGAUCCUCGGCACAAACAUUGCAAUUUCCAGGCGCCACUCGAUGGCCGGACAUCGUUGAUUGUUGCUGCUGUCCAUUUUCGGCGACUCCAAUUUAAAGGCCGUGUCGCCUGGCCCGCAGAUACACACUCAGAUGCAGAUACCCGUGGCGUUGACGGAAUGGAUUGCAUCCAGUCGGCUGGAGAGGCACCAGAUGGCAUCGACGAGGUGCUGAUGAGCCGCAGCUAGAGUCAACUGAAGUCACAUUUGUACUGCACUUGUCAUCCAUCCAACCGAUUGGGUUCCUCAACAGAAAGUUCGUUGAAGUGCGAGUCUUUUAAAUGGUGUCUUUUAAUUGAUUUAAAUCAUCAUUUUUUUUUUAAAUUUUCUUAUUGUUUGCUAAUUGUUUGAGUUAGUUUAUAAUGACAUAAACCACCUAGGAGAGGAGUUCGUCAAGCUAAAUGCCCCGGAGCUGCAUGGCGACCUAACCCUUUCCGUGCUGCACUUGUCCAUAUCGUUGACAUGUGUUGCGUUCUCUCUAAUUUAAUUAAAAUCAACUUGGGGCGGCUCCGGCAGUCUGCAACUGCAACUCCCCGCCUGCCCC
Non-coding RNA from Drosophila melanogaster (fruit fly), 892 nucleotides. Lineage: Eukaryota; Metazoa; Arthropoda; Insecta; Diptera; Drosophilidae. The record is from Ensembl.